This 253-nucleotide ribosomal RNA is filed under the name uncultured bacterium. RNAcentral's name for it is "partial 16S ribosomal RNA". It matches the Rfam family "Bacterial small subunit ribosomal RNA", at positions 524 to 776 of the family's 1533-position model. The record is from RNAcentral.
UACGUAGGGGGCAAGCGUUGUCCGGAAUCAUUGGGCGUAAAGCGCGUGUAGGCGGCUUGGUAAGUCUGCUCUGAAAGCCCGGGGCUCAACCCCGGGAGGCGGGUGGAUACUGUCAAGCUCGAGUCCGGAAGAGGAGUGUGGAAUUCCUGGUGUAGCGGUGAAAUUCGUAGAUAUUAGGAAGAACACCGGUGGCUAAGGCGGCCCACUGGUCCGGUACUGACGCUGAGGUGCGAAAGCGUGGGGAGCAAACAGG